AGCUCCAAUAGCGUAUAUUAAAGUUGUUGCGGUUAAAAAGCUCGUAGUUGGUUCUGUGUGCCACGCUGUCGGUUCACCGCCUGCCGGUGCAACUGACAUGCCGUGGGAUGUCUUGCCGGAGGGGGCCGAAACCCUUCAGCGGCUUCCCGUUGUUGGGCUCAGGUCCUCGCAAUGCUGCCACGGUGCUCUUCACCGAGUGUCGGGGCAGGCCGACAUGAUUAGUUGUGCAUGGAAUAAUGGAAUAUGACCUUGUUUCUGUUUUGUUGGCUUUCGGAAUUCACGGUAAUGAUCAAUGUGGACAGGCGGGGGCAUUCGUAUUGCGACGUUAGAGGUGAAAUUCUUGGAUCGUCGCAAGACGAACUAGAGCGAAAGCAUUUGCCAAGUAUGUCUUAG
This 393-nucleotide ribosomal RNA is filed under the name uncultured eukaryote. Its description in RNAcentral is "SSU rRNA". It matches the Rfam family "Eukaryotic small subunit ribosomal RNA", at positions 587 to 972 of the family's 1831-position model. The record is from RNAcentral.